AAUAGAUACCCUGGUAGUCCACGCCGUAAACUAUGGAUGCUAGCUGUUGGCCGUAUCGACCCGGUCAGUAGCGAAGCUAACGCGUUAAGCAUCCCGCCUGUGGAGUACGAGCGCAAGCUUAAAACAUAAAGGAAUUGACGGGGACCCGCACAAGCGGUGGAGCGUGUUGUUUAAUUCGAUGAUAAGCGAAGAACCUUACCCAGACUUGACAUCCUUGGAAGGCCUCCGAAAGGAGACUGUGCCUUCGGGAACCAAGUGACAGGUGUUGCAUGGCCGUCGUCAGCUCGUGUCGUGAGAUGUUUGGUUAAGUCCAUCAACGAGCGCAACCCUUAUAGUUAGUUGAAUUUUUCUAGCUAGACUGCCCUGGCAACAGGGAGGAAGGGGGGGAUGGAUGUCAGGUCAGUAUUACCCUUACGUCUGGGGCUACAAACACGCUACAAUGGCCGGUACAAAGGGCAGCCAACCCGCGAGGGGGAGCUAAUCCCAUCAAAGCCGGUCUCAGUUCGGAUUGCAGGCUGAAACUCGCCUGCAUGAAGCCGG
RNAcentral lists this ribosomal RNA (540 nucleotides) under uncultured bacterium. Its description in RNAcentral is "bacterial SSU rRNA". It matches the Rfam family "Bacterial small subunit ribosomal RNA", at positions 777 to 1329 of the family's 1533-position model. The record is from RNAcentral.